Zonotrichia albicollis (white-throated sparrow) is the source of this 13470-nucleotide non-coding RNA. NCBI's taxonomy places the organism in Eukaryota, Metazoa, Chordata, Aves, Passeriformes, Passerellidae. The record is from RefSeq and is a predicted model, not a curated record.
UCCAAAACGUAUUCUUCCUGCAUCUCUUUGCAAAGGUCUGGGGGAGGUGAUGAAGUCUGCUUUUAAAAUGUAAUAACAGUUUUUAAAAUGGUAAUUUGAGAACAUAAAAUACUGAAACUGAUGAACAAGCUAAAAUGACUGUUCUGACAUAGACAAUAUAUCAUUAAUAUAUUUUUACUAAUAGGUAUACACCAAAAUGUUGUAUGAUUCACAGCUACUGUAUGAGCAGCUACACUAUAUAAACUAGACUAGAUGAGAAUGUAGAUGAGAAAACUAUAUAAAUUGCUAGAUGAGAAUGUCAAGCAGUUCCCUCUUCCAGCAUCUACACUAAAAAGGGUCUUUCCAUCUCAGGUUUCAGUGUUCUUAUAAUCUUCCCAUUCUCCUGCUAAAAAUGAAGCUAAACAGCUGAUCUUUUCUUAGACUUCUGGUUAUGAGACAGCACCAAGCUAUACUUGACUCAUGUUUGCUGAACUAAUCAGUUACUGGCCAAUACAAAACAUUUUCAAAGUGUACCCUGAGAAAGAGACGCUUUAUUUUUGAGAUUAAAUUUUCAUCCUAUGAAAUCACAUUCCAGUUAACUACUGACUUUCAGUUUUCAAAGCAUAAGGUAAAAUUCUUUCAGGUUUUACAAUUGCAUCUGACCUGCAUUGACAAGGCUUUAGUGCCAUAUUUUCAUGUUUUGGUCAUUCUCUUAUAUUAAAAACCAUUCAAACAGAAGUGAAUUCAACUACAGUCUUUAUUGUGUAGCUGAAGUGGCAAGGGAUCAAGAAGCAGAACUGUUACUAGGAGAUCUGAGAAACAGUAAUUCACAGUAGCCCCAAAGCCUUUCUGAGUCUGCCUCUGCCAACACUAGUAGGUUUCAAAUGAAAACCCUCAGAGCCACUGUUUUACAAAUGCCAACUUCUUAGCUGUGUUACCCCACACCGGUUGAUCUGGCCAAGAAAAUUAUUGUCCUUAUUUUUCAAUUUUGUCAGGCAUUACUAGUGUGCAUCACCUUGGUAAAAGUGUGAUUUGUGAUUUGCCCUAUUUAAGACCGAAGUAAGAGCAGAAUUUAAAAUAUUUGUGUUCUAAUGCAUGUGGAAGCACAGCAUUCAAACCCAAGGAAACUGAUAGUGGCAGUACCACUACCUUAAGCAGUAGUGGUAUUUCCUGUUUUACAUGUUGCUGAAAUUUACAGUUCAGCAGUAGAAUGCAGAGGAUUGUGAGGAGAUCUUCCAUUACGGACAACGGAGUUCAUUACCACCGUAUUUUUAAUAGAAGUCACCUUGUUAAUAUUAUUAUUUUCUUUGUGCAGGACAAAAACAGUCUAAAUGCCAGCAAUAAGGUCACUCUUCCCAACCACAGAAAAGGAUGGUGCUGUAUCCCCCAAGGAGGAGGGGACUGGCUAAAAAGCAUUUGAAGUGUCACUAUUAUAUCUCAGGUUAUAACUGAUAUUGCAAUCUCUCUGUCUUAAUCCCCCCAAAAAUACCUUAAUCAGAAUGCCUUCUGCUCUCAAUGACAGUUAAGUAACUCAUACAGUAGAUUUAUGUAAAAAAAUAUUGACCAAUUAUAAAUUAACAAUUCAGUGUACAGCUGAUAACCUUUGUUUUCCAAAAGCACAACCCACUCUGAUAAGGUGUAUGAAUGGGUAUAACAGUACAAUUAUACUAGUAUAUGUGAUGCAAAUGCAAGUGUACCGGUAUAUAUAAUUAUACUAGUAGAAGUGCUGAUCUCCUAUCAGCAAUAGAUAAACAGCAGCUCUCCUGUUUGUUGGUGAUGAUGCCACAAAACUGCCCACAGAUUAGCUAGUUUGAGUAGGAGUGGGAGAAUCACUUGUCAGCAAUCUACCUUAUCCUUAUUGUUAAUAAAUACAUAAUUAUUAGAGCUGUUAAAAGAGUAAACACCUUCACUUGUGUUUAUUGAAUGAUUAAGGUUCUGAAGUCAGAAAUUGGAAGUUACUGAAAUGUUAUUCCAACAGAGUUUGUUUAGAUGUUUGUUUAAGGUCAGACAUUAUAGGAAAGUACAACAAAGGAUAGAGAGACUAGGACUUUGGGCAAGAAAGACAGGGGUUUAUAGUGCAUGUUUUUGUCUGGCAUGCUCUCUCCUGUGGAACAUUAUACUUUUUGUGGAUUGUAGUACAUUUUAAAUUUUAAGAGAAGCAUAAAGAGUAAAAGUUCUUCUGGGUUAAAUUACUAGAAACGGAGUGUCUGUUGUGUCUCUAAUUUCAUAACCAGAAUCUAUUGCUCAGCUGAUUCUUUCCAUUUUCGUGGUUGUCAUGUAUUUGCACAGGUAGUUCAUAAACUUCAGCAAUCCAGCAUGGUAAAUUCCUGGCCCUAUGAAAUUCAAUUUGAAAGUCAACUUCAAGCCAUACUACUUCAUUUAGGGUAUUGCCAAAUGGAAGCUGAAAAAUUCUGACAAAGAUAUAUAUAUAAUUUUUUUCAAUAAAAAGAGUUCAUCAUCAUAAAUUAAAAAAUUGAACAGGAAUGAAAAGACAAAACAGAAAACAAUUAUAGCAACUGUUUGCCCAUAAAAAUACCAUGCCCUGCCAUAAAGACUACAGGACUGAAGCCCGAGAGAUGCACACUUCAGUGCAAAGAUAAAUAUACUGUCACUUGGGUUUGCAGAAAGUUUAUAGUAAGAAUACAGUGUAACUGUGUUUCUAAACUGCCAAUUCAAGGCCACAGAGCUUAAAUAUAUUUUGAGUAAUCAAUAUGAAAGCUGUGUAAAGUUGAGCUCAUUUUCCUGAUCUUUGCCACAUAUCAGAAAUUACUGUAACAGACUUAAGACAAUUAUAUGUAGCUUAAAUACAAAAAUUAAAGCAAAACCACCGCCAAAUAUGUGUAAUAAGACAAAACACAUUAAUCUGCUAGUUGUUUUAUAGCAAAACAUAUUUUUUAAUGCUUCUUUAAGAAAAAUUGUAUCAUGGCUUUGAGCACAUCGGCAGGUUCUAAUUGCCAUGAGUAGCCUGUAACCCUCUUUCUCUUUAUGCUUAUUGUGUGAACUCUUCCCCUCACUGAGUGGUUCACUGCUUUUAUUUAAGGCUAAAUCACUUUCCCUUGCCAAAAUGCAACCCUUGCUGCUCACUGGCAUGUUAAUUUGUGACUUGGUACUCCAAAUGUAUGUAAUGAGUCCCCCAAAAAUGUAUCUAAACUUUUAAAUAAAAAUAAAUGUAAAUUUUCUGCAUCUCUUGUGUAUAUUUCACAGUCAUACUAACUUAAAUUGAACAAAUUUUCUUAAGUAUAGCAAAUAGCUUAAUGAAGACUUAUGAAAAAGGUCUGUGAUAGAUAAUUUUUCUCGGUUUCUCUGAAGAAAAGAAAAAACUGCAUUUAGAAAGGGAAGAUCAGGUUUACUUCAGUAGAGUUUGCCUAAGUACAGUACAGUUAGAAGACUGACAACUACUGAUUUGAUAGCAAAUUUCAGUUGCCUUCUAGCAUGCAUGAAUCUGCUGUUAAACUCACCACUUCUUUGGGGUCUGAAUUUCUAUCAAUAAUAAUUUCUGCAUUACAGUAAAGGCAGAUAAAUUUCUAAUUUUAAACUUCUUUUUUUACAAUUAGUAUCAUAUAUGAAACUUUGUAACACAAUGCUGGCAAACAUUUUAUCUGUGUGCAGUUAAAACCUUCUAAAUGUAUUCAGUUUUAUAUAGCACACAUAUACCUAAACAUUGCAAAUCAUCUCGUCUAUUAUAACUAAGUUCCAAAAAAUAUUUGGGGUUGAAGUUCUUUCUAGCUCCUUGGCAGUGACUUGUUAUGCUUCAUUAGAACAAUAAACGUACAAAAUUACUUUAUUUCAAAAAGUCAACUAAAGUCAACUAAAAAAAGUCAACUAAAAUGGAAAGUCAACUAAAAUGUCAAAAUCAGUCCUGAUUGACACAUUCACAUGACACUUUGCUUUGCUUUGCUUUGGAAUUCAUCCUCUAAAGUAUUUAUUCUCUGAUAGAUAUGGAAAACUGUUAGAAUCUCACUGUUUAGCUGUGAGAAUGCACAUGGAUGUCAGACAUGCCAUGGAGCUUCAAUUCUGCACUAGAAAAAGGAGAGGAAUGUAUGUAGGAAUCUGAGAAUCAUAAGUUAGAAUUAUGGAUUUGCCUGGUAUUUGCUAAGUAAUUUUUCUGUCUGUAGUUUAUUUAAAAUGUACACAAAGAGCUUUGUGUCUACUUUUAUGAAACCGAUUCGGAACAGAUUGUGAGUGUUAUUGCAAGCUAUACCAAUGCGGGCAAUGUCACUGUUUACAGUACCACACCUUCAACCAUCCUGCUUUUUUACAAUUCUAGCAUGAGGAGUAGGCAUGGAUUUUCACCAAAUAAGUACGUUUGGAGCAUGAUACAUACUCCAUUUUAUAUCUUGGAAAGGUGAAUAUGUAUGAAUACAAUGAGAGUUAAGGAACUGAAUUUAUGGUUGUAGUACAGACAGUGAUGCUGUCAUCACUGGUUUGCACAGAUUCUGACUGUUGUCAGAAUGAAUUUUUCAGUUACCUCCAAAAAAGUAGAUAAUACUGAAAACACUGGACACAGAAUGAAGGAGGCAUUGUAGAACUCUUACAGUAAUAUAAUCUACCAACAAAGAGAUCACUCAAGGCUGAUAUUUGAGGAUUUAUCUCAGUGUCCUUCUGAAAGGAAAAUUUCAUAAGAAAAAAUGUUCCAUUCUCACCCAAAAUAUUUAUAUCCCAUUUCCAUGUCCUUGAGGCUCCUCCCAAAAGCAUUUUUCCCUGGUAUAAAUUCCUCUUACAGAAUAGGUCCUCUGGCAAUUAUCAUAGAGUAGCUGAGGUGGGAAGAGACGUCCAGAAAUCACUUAGUCAGCUCUGUUCUCCAAGGCAGGCUGAACACAAGUUUUACUCAAAAAAUUUUACACUACUUUUUGCUUGUUAUGAACACCAUCACUUUUUGGCUAAUUCACAGCUGACUUGGAGAUCCAUCGGACCAUCAGUAAAUCUUAAGAGUUCUUCUUUUCAUCUAAUGCAAGAACUGAGGCAGUGAAAAUUCAUAACUUGUUACUUCUGCCUAUUGUUCUUCUGAUGUGCACCUCUAAGAAAAGUUUGGUUCCAUCUUCUCUGCAAUCCCCCUGCAGGGCAUGGUCUAUAGACAUUUAAGUGUCAACAUCUUCCAUUUGACAUUGACCGACCCUGUAGCUCAAAGAGACUGGAACUCAACAUCCCUGACUAUCUUCUAGUGGCAGUAAUCAACUAUUCAACCCAAAAACUUUUGCAAUAAUCUUCUCUGAGUAUUUCACAAAAAAGAAUAAGGGGACAUACUCAGAAGUUAUGAAAUGUGGAAGGUGGAAGUAAGGUGAUAUCAAUAAUAUGGGAGAUUCUUCAGCCUGCUAAAGUGACAAUGUUCAUUGUUACCUUCUGGUACUUCAAGACAUCAGCAAAAAUUAAAUAAAUUAAGAGAAUGCACCUAAGAAGCAAGAAGUUGGUGACCAGCUGUAAAGCCUAGCGUGCUAUUAAAGAGGAGCCUGAAGUCCCUUGGCAGUGAAAGUGAGUACCUUAAUAUUAAAUGUAUGGGAGUGGAAGGCAAGAAGAAACAAUGGCAGCUUGUUUCUGGCUUUUCUAACAUCAGCCUGAAUCACAGAGCCAGUCAGCUGAGGAAAACAUCAUCCACUUCUGGUAAAAAUGUCACAAACAUCCUUGAUACAACUUGUUCCUAAUAUUACGUUGUUGCAACUGCAUCAGGAAUAUAUGUCUUUGGUGUUUAUGUGUGCAAUUAUAUUACACAACAUUUCCUUUUUUGUUGUUGUUGGGGUUUUUGGGCUUUUUUGUUUGGUUUGAUCUUGGUGUCAUUUUUGUGUUCUAGGAAUAUCAGUGUCUUCUACAUCAGGCUUGUCAGACCAUGUAUCUGUUCACAAACUGCUUCCAUUGUGUACCUAUACAGGUUUUGGUUCUGUUCAUAAAUUAACAAUAAUAAUUUUCUGAGUGACUCCAAAAUUUGAUGGAGUUAUCAAGAAAAAGAUACUGAAAAAUAUAUAAAACACACUUAAGUACCCUAUCAGUGUAGCUGUCAUUAUUCUCAAUUUAAUGGAAUGAAAGUUUUAGUAAUUCAAUUAAAGAUUAAUUAAUCAAUUAAUCCAACUAAAAGAUUUCAACUUUUUCCUCUAUUUUGGUUAAAAUGUGUUUUAUUGAGUUUUUUUCCUACUUUCAUAUCUCUGGAAAUGGUACCAUUCUAGAAUAAUUGCAUAAUUCUACAAUAAUUGCAUUUGAUAUUAUUUAAUUUUUUUCUAUCCUCUAACAAGUCUUUGCAUGAUGAUAGCUAUCAAUAACAUCUCUGUUGUCAAAUACUGAAGCCCCUUUUGAGACAAAAGAGUUCAAUUAAAAACAAAAGAGUUCAAUUAAAAACAAAAUAACCCCACAAAUUCCAAAAUGUGCCCUAUUCUCCAUUUUGCGUUUGUUUUUGAGCAUUACCUUUCCUUUGUCUCUCUCUUGAGCUAAAUGUCUAGACUUCCCACUUAAUGAAAUGAGUGUAAACAAUAUAAUCGUAUCAUUUAAAUAUAUAAUAAACCUACUGCAAAUCAGGAUAAAAGUAUUCUUGUAUCAUUAUCAGUAUCAUUAUCAGUAUAUUAUCAGUAUCAUAUCAGUAUAGAUCAUACAGAUCUAAUAUAUUGUUAUGUCUACAGAGAACAGGAUCACAGUAAUAGUACAUUUGAAAAUUUCCUGAGUACUAUACAGGCAAUUGGUGAGUUUUGGUAUUUAAGGAACAUUACCUUCAUGGGAUUGUGAAUCCUUGGUAGAUAUUUCAUGAUGACCAUCUUCAUCUAUAUCAAAAUGCACUAUUUUUGAAUUGUCAGUUAGUAUAUAGCAUUUCGAUGUUUUUCGCAGCCUAAACCCUAAUAAAAAAUGAGUUAUAAUUCAUUUUACUAUCAACAAAGAAAUUACAUCAUUCCAUUAGAAAAAGAUCAAGGGCAUUUUUAACAAUUCUUACUUGAUAGUCUAUGUAUAUUUGAACUAUGAGCAGUAUAGCCAACAUACUAGAAAUUAUCUAGUAUGGGCUUAGGCAGCUGUUUUGAGGACUUGGUAUUGGUGUGAAGAAGGACAAUAAAUAUUUCUUUGCUGAGAAGGUUAUGUCAGUGACCAGGAAACUUGCCUGUUUCCCAGUUUUGCAUUUUGAAUAUUGGAUCUGGGUAUAAAUAGGACUUUUAGGUAAGAGUGCUAGCUAAAAAGCAGCAUUUAGUUUGGGGAUCAGGUAUCUUGUCCUAAAAAAAAAAAAAAAACCAAAAAACAAACCAACAAACCCAAGUCUUUCUAACUAAAAGCUGCCAGGAGGAAAAUUGCUCCCUUUCAUUCCUAAAUGCAACCGUGUUGUUCUGGAUGCCAGAAGAAUGUAUGUCUGGACACCUGGAUAUGAGACACCUCCAGAAUAACACUAAUUAUAGAAAACCUCUUCCACGUGCUUAAUUUUGUUGGAUUUUGCCUUGGAUUGGAAUAUUCUUUUCAAGAUUAUAAACAUAUUUGUCACUGGGGGAAGAGUUACCUGACUUUACAGGAGCUGUUCUCAUACUUGCACGCAGACAUGUCGUCCCCACAGAUCCCCUUCUACGGAGAGGCACUUGAUACGGCAUUAUACGGCCUGAGCGGAGCAGCAUUGCCAAGGCGUUGAAGAAAUACUGAUGAUGAUGAUGAUGAUGAUCUCACUUGACUUCCUUUUUGAGUCCUAAAGUAGGAGUAAGAAUUUGUCACAAGACUUUGUGUUUCCAUUGAGAAACAAGUUUUCAAAUAUAAUUUUGGUAAAUGACAGUUAAUAGAAGUAGAUAGACUCUAAAAAUGUUUGACUGCUUGCAUGAUCCAAGCCUUUGUCUUGCAAAGCAAAAAAACUGUGUUUCCAGUGAUGGUAAAUCAGUUAACUACCUAAACUUUCACUAAGAUGCACGCCAACAUGAUAACACAAUUGUGUUGAACAAAUAUGUUUUGAAAGACUUCCCCUAGGAUAACAUAUAAGCAGUGUUUGUGACUUCAGUUUUUGUUUGUCAAUCAUAGGAAGCUAGCUACAUUUUGCUAACUGAAUUGAAAAAUCACAUUCAUUUUGUGGAUACAGCAUAAGAUAAUUGUCAAAGUAUUAAUAAGUGAUUGAAAAUUAUGCUAAUGACAAAACAGCAUGAUCUGACUCUCAGAGGUGUACAUAGGUAUAUUGCAAUAUCUUAAACUAAGGUUCAGGAAAUCUUGCCUCAGAAAUGAGGACUUGAAUUUGGAAACUUGAGGAAUAUGUUAUAAUUAUUAAGGAAUAUCAGAUUAGAUACCUGAAGGAGAGCUUGAUGUCUAAGAAUGUGAACUGCUUUGACGGUGAAACCACCCAGGCAGCUACUAAGGUAAUCCCAAAGUUGCAAUUUAGAUCACUGCAUUUCAGGAAAGGUAAGGACCUUACUUUGGUUUAAAGAAAGGAAAGCUGAAAUUCUGAAGUCUACAUGCUCUCCUGAAGUCACCUGUUUAUGGCAAGUGUUAAUGGCAAGUGCAGACCAAGGAAAACAACAAGCUUCAAUUCUGUCUGGUAUCUUGGAGAAUGAAACAAGUGAAGAUGGGUACAAUUUUAGCCCCAUGCAGCCUUGCACAGAAUAAUUAAAUAUCUGUCAGACUAGAAAGAUUAAGGCUCUGACACAAGUGUAAUGGUUUGUAAAUUCACCCAAGGAAGAGUAUGGCAGUUCUGUUUUCUGGUUUGGCUCACUUCCCUGAUGCAAAGCUUCGUAUUCAAUUUUUUACAUGAAAUGAAAAACUUCUGCCCUGGCAGUUCUCUUGUCACCAUACUAAAAGGGAUAACUACAGCUCUUAUUCAGUCUCUUCAACUCUAGUUAUAACAACAUUCAGUUAGAUCACUGAAAAGUGAAACAUUUGUUAUAUGGGAUUGCUCUUCCUUGUGAAUAGGGCUCAUAUAAUUAAUGAUAACUUCCAGUCUGAGGUAGAAUGAAAAGGCUGGGUCUCCCACAUCUUGCUGAAACUGCUUUAUCGCUGAGCAUUCUAAACAAAAAAAAACCAAAACAUUCUAUGUGGGUUUUUUUCACUAGGAAAUUGGUCUCUGGAAACUUCCACCUGAAUCGGGCUCUAUGGUGUGUGUGGACAGUAAUGCCACCUUGUGGCUCUUGAGAGAUGUAAGUCUCUAGGGGCUCAUUAGCAAAGACUCAAGACUUUGCUGGGUCUGCGAGGCUCAAAACCACACAAUCAGCUACUCAAGUUUCCUACUUAAAACAAGUGUAAUUCUAGUUUGGCUGCUCUUAAUCAGAAGUUCUGAAGAUCCCAGUUCCUGGUUUUGAUCUAUCUUCAGUCUCGCACCUGCAUUGCUUACACUCGCAACAGUAAGACAAAAAGGAGAAUGUCCUCAAGUCAGGACUGAAGAAUUCCAGAAGAUGGCAGGCCAGUUCAAAGACAUUCUCAGAAACAUGUUUAGGAAGUGGAUAAAUUCUGAAGAAAGUUUCUAUGAUGAACUAUGGACAGGUAACCUUGAUGUUAUGAAGGACUGUACUAAAUCUUAAUUAGUUUGGUUUGUUUAAACAAGUAGAAAAUAGAAAAGUCUGUGGUAGAACUUCACCUCUGUUGGCUCUCCAGAAGCCAAUUAGUUGUUCUCCAGAACAAUUAAAACUCCCUAAAAUAAACAAAACAAGCUUUCACACCUUGAAGAGCCAUAUAUUCCUUAAGACUGUGUGACAUAUAAAUGCUCCCAUUUCAAGAAACCUUUCCUGUCAUUACAUGUUCUUAUACACACAUCACCUAUACCCACAUUUUUCACUCUUUGUCAUAGUCUUUUAUGCCAUGUAUAUCUUCCUAUGUUGAUUUCUUUAUCCUAAUGUCUUUCAUACCUAUUUCUUCAGUCAUUUUCUCUCUUCUGUAAGGUAUACAUUGAAGUGGACUAAGAAGACACUGCAGAAGUGUCAACCACUAUUUUCAUAACUUGGUUCUGAUUAGUUUCAUUUUGCAUCCAAACUAUGUAUAAAGGAAUUAAAGUUUUUUAAACUGCUGAAAUUAGCAGCAGUCUAAUUACUCUAAAGAAAUUAAUGAGUAUGUUUGUGGCCAAAGAAAACAAGAUCAUACUAAAAGCAGAAGAAAUUUCUUUUUUACCACUACAUGGAUUAUAUUAAUUCAUUGAUAUGAAGACAGCAAAGAAAACCUGUUAUAUAGCCUCUCUUGCUCCCAUUGUGAUCUUGCUUGUUCUCUCUUUCAUCUAACCCCAAGAUACAUGUGAUCAUAAAAUUAAAUUAAAUCAAAUUCAGUACAUAAAAACAACAUUUAAAACUGUGGAAUUCAUACAUGUGGUGGUAUGUUCCAAAUAUUACCUCAUACCAUGUUGACAAAUUCCUAACAUAUGUCUAAGAUCCUUGUAGGGUCAGAACUGUUUUAGUCAAGUGAAUUGGGUCGUAGCUGUCAGGCCUGCUAGCAGAGGUAGUAAUUCCUCCAGGUUUAUCCAAUUUAAAAGUGGAUUAAAAAAGAAUUUUUGGCAUCCUCUAGCUAAUAAAAGAUGAGGUUAUAGUGUCCUUCAAACCAGGCUUUACAAAAUCUAUGAUCUAAACUAGCAGGAGUACACAAAAAUGAACAUAAACUAGAUUAAGAAAGAGAUUUCUUAAGAAAACUUUAGGUCAACUGAAACAAUCACUCAUAAAAUUUCAAGAAAGAGUCUGAUAACAUAAUCUUAAAUUAUUUAAUCCUGCUGUAAUCUGCCAUUCUUGCUUACCUUAUUUUGUCUCUGCUGGGAUACUUCUACUGAACAGAAUGCUAGAAGCAGCUCUGUUACAGCCAAUUUAUUGUCUGAACAGAGGGCAGGAAGCCAAACCUCUGAAUAAAACAAAAGUCUGACGUGGAUCUAAUCUUCUAGAUCUCUACACACUCUCAUUUAUAUCAACAUUCCAAUGGUUCUAACUAUUCCUGGAAUUACAAAAGGGUCGGAAAUUGUAGGAGCAAACUUUUGAAUGCCUGUUUCUGUAUGAUGCCAUAGAACUGCCUAGAACUGCAUGCAAAUUUUUAGCCCUAGUUUUGUGUAUUUUAUUCCUAUAUUUUAUGUCACUAAUAUUGUUCUUGUUAUCUGUCAUUCUUAUAGGGCUGAAUCACGCGCAGAUACUAGGGUUAUAGUAAUACAGACAUAUUAAAAGUAGGAGUGUAGCCUCUGUUUCAGGGAGCUCAAAACAGACUUACUGCUUAAACAUUUUCCCAGCUAUCAAAUGGGCUUUGCCUGCACGGCAUCAAUUCCCAUACUUGGCAUCAAUUCCCAUGCUUGUGACAUGAGUGAGCUGCUAAAAAUUGGAUGUGAUUCAUGUCUUUGCCCAUGAGGCCCUGGUAAUAUGUAGGUUUUUGUUAUCAAAUUCAGUACAUUCAGUUGGCCUUACCUACCUGUUUGCAUCCCUUCACUCCUAUUGGUGAGUCCUUCCUAUUCAUAUUAUCUAACCCUUUUUUAAUUAGCAAGCCUUGCAUUUUUACAGGAGUGAGUAACAUUUUUAUUUAUCUCACUGAAAUGAGAAAAAAUUCCCUAAAGUCAAUUACAUUUACUUUUUUUUUGGCCAAAGUUUUCUUAAAAUCAAGAAGCCAUUGCUUUUAUCUAGAGUUUGUUUACUAUAUAAAGAAGGUUACAUAAUUUAUCUGUGUUUGAUUUAGGAGAAUUUUUUUUCAUUUUCCAAGCCCUCACCAGACACUGGUAAUGUAUUGGGUCAACAGAAAAACUUUAUUGAAACACAUACUUAGUGACAAAGCAAUGUGAUACUUUGAAAUCUCUAGUCUUUGUCUAUUACCCAAACAGUCUUAAAACGUGGGGAAGUUUCUAAAUGGCAUGGUGUAAGAGUGUCCUUUCAGUACACAAUCGUCCUAAUUUUGUGUGGGAUAAAGUUAAUUUUCAUGCUGAUAUAUGGGAUAAUGUUGUGAUUUAGAUUUAGGAUGAGAAUAAUGUUGAUAGCAGACUGAUGAGUGGAGUGUUAAGCAUUAAGACAAGGACUUUUUCUGUUUCUCACAUCACACUACCAGUGAAGAGUCUGCGAGACAUGAGUAGCUGGGAGGAGACAGAGGUGAUAUAGCUGACCGUGACUGACUGGAAGGAUAUUCCAUACUAUAUAGUGUAAAGCUGAGUAAUAUUAGCUGCAGAAAAAGCUGGCUGGGGGCUUGGGAGCUGGCUCUGUAUCUGCUAGCAGGUGGCUACCAGCCACUUUGUGCAUUACUUGUUUUGCAUACUCUAAUUUUAAUGAUAGUUAUUUUUGUUUCCCCUCCUGUUUCUGGCCUAUUAAGCUGUCUUUAACUCAACAGUGUUUCCCCCAUUUCUCUUACUUAUCCUGAGGUGGUGACAGGGAAGUGAGCAAGUGUUUUGUAUGGUGUUAGCUGCCUGCUGGGUUAAACCACAAGAGUCCAUUUUGGCACCCAACCCAUGGGUGUGAAGGGUUAAGAUAACCACUGCUUUGACAUGCUAAAACAAAUUUGUUAUAAGCAAUUAGUUGCAUUGGUUUAAUAGUUACUGGCCACAAUGUUGACUUAUUUGAUCUCAAUGUUGUUGUGUGUUCUCAGAGUUGCAUUGGGUAACACCUUACUUGCUGUGUUCCCUGCUGUGUCAUUUCUCAGCUCUGGGUUAGGGUUGAUGUUGUUGAGCUUUGUAACAUGGGGUUUUGAUAAGAUGCCUCUUGGCAGGACUGAGGCAGUGUGUACACCCAGCAUCGCUGCUGCACCUGCAUUCCUGUCGGGAAUGACACAUAACUACACCUCCAGGGGUCCAUCCAUGGGAAUGACACUCUCUGCCAUCUUUCCUUUCUCCUCCAGGUGACUUACAACACCUCUUGGAAAGUAUCCCCAGGGUGACCAAACCAGCACCUUUGGAUUGCUAUGACACAUGAAUAUGUCUCAGCUCUUGUGUAAGUUUACACAACUAAGUAAGAACAUCACCCACAGAUCUGCCCUAAGGCUGGAUAGUUAUGAGUGGCAAGGGGUGUGGGAUAGGAUGGGCAAGUGCCUAGGGCAGUAGACAUCUCCCAGUGUUUUAAGACUUCACCUCUAAAAACCUGAGGAAUGCGGAAAAAUGUAUUAAAAUAUUUGGGCAAGAUGAGCUGUCACCCAAUAAUUCCAGAGAGACACAAAUCACUGCAAUGUGCUGGGGCCCGGUCCAGGCUGACCGAGAUCUGUUCAGCAGAGCUCAGUGCCUGCUGCAGGAGGGAAGGUCUCUGGAACUAAGAGCAACGUGACAGAGUCCAAGGCUGAACCAGAAAACCAACCUGUGCCAAUAUUAUCUGAGAUUGUAUGCAAGGAGAAAUACUGGAAGAAGUGUGUGGAAGCAGCUGACAGCUGGUCUGUGAGCGAGGAAGAGUGAGUUAGAAGAAACUGGUAAGAGUUGUGUUUACCCCUGAAAGGAAUUCUGCCAAGGUUGUUGACAUGGAAACUAAGAAGAAGAAAAAGAUAAACGAAAGAAACCUGCAGUUCAGUAUAGCUGGAAACAGUGGUGUAGACUGCUCUGUAACAAAGAACAAUGUGUUGAUUUAUUGUAACCAAUGAAUAAGUAUAAACUUUGUUGGGAAUGUAUAAAAGACAGCAUGCUGUUAUAAUAAAGAGAGAAGCCUUUUGAAA